This 477-nucleotide ribosomal RNA is filed under the name uncultured bacterium. RNAcentral describes it as "partial 16S ribosomal RNA". It matches the Rfam family "Bacterial small subunit ribosomal RNA", at positions 28 to 507 of the family's 1533-position model. The record is from RNAcentral.
GAUUAACGCUGGCGGCGUGCAUAACACAUGCAAGUCGAACGAUGAAACUUAAAUGAUUUCUUCGGAAUGAACUUAAGUGGAUUAGUGGCGGACGGGUGAGUAACGCGUGAGUAACCUGCCUUACACAUGGGGAUAGCCGUUGGAAACGACGAAUAAUACCCUAUGAAACUAUCACUUCGCAUGAAGCGAUAGUCAAAGUGUUAGCGGUGUAAGAUGGACUUGCGUCUGAUUAGCUAGUUGGUGAGAAAAAAGCCCACCAAGGCAACGAUCAGUAGCCGGCUUGAGAGCGUGUACGGCCACAUUGGGACUGAGACACGGCCCAGACUCCUACGGGAGGCAGCAGUGGGGAAUUUUGCACAAUGGGGGAAACCCUGAUGCAGCGACGCCGCGUGAUUUAGAAGGCCUUCGGGUUGUAAAAAUCUUUUGUAUAGGAAGAAAAUGACAGUACUAUACGAAUAAGGUCCGGCUAAUUACGUG